Molecule: ribosomal RNA, 468 nt
Filed under: uncultured bacterium
Lineage: Bacteria
Description: partial 16S ribosomal RNA
Rfam family: Bacterial small subunit ribosomal RNA
Source: RNAcentral
GACGAACGCUGGCGGCGUGCUUAACACAUGCAAGUCGAACGGAAAGGCCCUGCUUUUGUGGGGUGCUCGAGUGGCGAACGGGUGAGUAACACGUGAGUAACCUGCCCUUGUCUUUGGGAUAACUUCAGGAAACUGGGGCUAAUACCGGAUAGGAGCUCCUGCUGCAUGGUGGGGGUUGGAAAGUUUCGGCGGUUGGGGAUGGACUCGCGGCUUAUCCGCUUGUUGGUGGGGUAGUGGCUUACCAAGGCUUUGACGGGUAGCCGGCCUGAGAGGGUGACCGGCCACAUUGGGACUGAGAUACGGCCCAGACGGCUACGGGAGGCAGCAGUGGGGAAUAUUGCACAAUGGGCGGAAGCCUGAUGCAGCAACGCCGCGUGCGGGAUGACGGCCUUCGGGUUGUAAACCGCUUUCGCCUGUGACGAAGCGUGAGUGACGGUAAUGGGUAAAGAAGCACCGGCUAACUACGUG